UUUCCGUAGGUGAACCUGCGGAAGGAUCAUUAUAAAUGCAAAACGAAUAACUUCAGGGAAGAAGGGAACCUGCACGGUGCCCUCCCCUGCCGGGCCACCCAAUACCUUCAAAAUGCCGCCGUCAUAGCGGUGGCAGACGAAAAAAAAACAAGAAAAACAAAAUAGAAGCAGGCACGGUGGCCCGUCCACCCUCACACAACCCCCCGCGGACCGCUUCCAUGUGGCUUCCCCGCAAAUCCACCUCUUCGGGGAGCGCGGGGGAGGUCCGCAUCAAAUUCCCCUGAAUGUUACAGCAGUCAGACAGCCAUUCAUGGAAACAAUAAAACUUUCAACAACGGAUCUCUUGGUUCCC
RNAcentral lists this unclassified non-coding RNA (352 nucleotides) under plant metagenome. RNAcentral describes it as "partial contains small subunit ribosomal RNA, internal transcribed spacer 1, and 5.8S ribosomal RNA". The record is from RNAcentral.